This 243-nucleotide ribosomal RNA is filed under the name uncultured Actinomycetales bacterium. Its description in RNAcentral is "partial 16S ribosomal RNA". It matches the Rfam family "Bacterial small subunit ribosomal RNA", at positions 88 to 334 of the family's 1533-position model. Lineage: Bacteria; Bacillati; Actinomycetota; Actinomycetes; Actinomycetales. The record is from RNAcentral.
UACUCGAGUGGCGAACGGGUGAGUAACACGUGGGUGAUAUGCCCUGCACUUCGGGAUAAGCCUGGGAAACUGGGUCUAAUACCGGAUAGGAGCCAUUUUUAGUGUGAUGGUUGGAAAGUUUUUUCGGUGUAGGAUGAGCUCGCGGCCUAUCAGCUUGUUGGUGGGGUAAUGGCCUACCAAGGCGGCGACGGGUAGCCGGCCUGAGAGGGUGGACGGCCACAUUGGGACUGAGAUACGGCCCAG